RNAcentral lists this long non-coding RNA (1562 nucleotides) under Nicotiana tabacum (common tobacco). RNAcentral describes it as "long non-coding RNA (NTAB_LNC005805)". Lineage: Eukaryota; Viridiplantae; Streptophyta; Magnoliopsida; Solanales; Solanaceae. The record is from RNAcentral.
ACGAAUCCCACUACUAUUUCCUUUUUUUAUUCUUCAAAUCUGAAGUGCCACUUCUAAACUUUAGCAUCGUGACAUUGUUCUCAAGUCCAACUAGCAGAAUCAAUUGCUUCAUCCCUAGGAUAUGAAGCCUCAAAUUUUAUUUCCAUUCCAUUGAUUGGAUUUCGAAAUCCCUAAUUCAAAACCCUACACUAAUCGAUGCAUAGUCGAAUCCCCAGAGAUUCUUUGUGCUCUGUCAAAAUUAGUGGCAUACAUAGCUAUUUUACAGUGUCAUCAUCAUUAUUCUUGGUCCAGAGGUCAAGUGCAGAGACCUCUAGACAUUGGGCCUUUAUUCGGUGGUUUUUGUUUUCAACAAGCAGUCUUCCUCCCUCAGGUAAAAUCUAUCCUUUUUCUCACCUUUAUCAUCUUUGAUUUCACUCGAGUUUGCUCACAUCAUCCACUUUCCAUCAUCUUCCACUGUCCUAAUUUGAAUCAGUAAGCUAUGGCACUAAAUGCCAAAAUAAAUAGAGUUUUGAAUGCUCUCACCUAACAAACCGAACAAGAACUAAAAAUCCUAAUACGAGUAUAAAAAAACCAUUGAGAUUUCAAAAGCCUAGUCUCUCUCUCUCUCUCUCUCGCUCUCGCUCUCUUCCUCUUUCUCUCUGAUUAAUUUUUGUUUCUUUUGUUUUCGAGUUUUCAUUGCUCAAAGCUUGAAGCUCUAGUUUCUACACGACUAAGUUGAAUUCUUGUUUGGUCUGCUGCACACAAGGAGGUCAGUAUACUUCCACUCCUUUUUGACUGUUUUAUUUAAAAUCAUGAACCUAUUGUUGUCUUUUCAUUGACUGCCUUUGUUUUUUAUGUUUGUCAUCAGCUCUUAAUUAUUUGUUCUUGGUUAUAAUGAUUUAUUACUAACUUAUGAUUAACUUUAAUGAAUUUAUGUGUCGCAAGUCAAUUUGAUUAAGUCAUUAUGUGACCUUGAAGACUACUACUCUAAAUCAAACAACCUAUGCAAUUAAGUUUUUUAAUGUGUCUUGAUAGCUUCCCAUGCAUGUUAUGAUUUAAGAUUUUCUCUAAAUGUUCUGUUGUGAUCUUCAUGCCUAUUACACUAAUCAUGUUUAAUGUAGUCUUUUAUUCUAUAUUUGAAGUUGUUAUUUAAUGAUUUUAACUAAGAGGUAUAUGAAUGCUCAGGGUUUAAUCCUUUACUAAUGAGUAAAGUAUGUUAACUUUAAUUGUUUAAGGUGUUUUUCCUUCUUCAGAUAAGUGUUUGAUAAUCCGAAACAACCUUUGAGUCAUUAAUGUGAAAGUCUUGUGUUUAUACUUAACUUUUAAUCACAUAUGUAAGCCUUAUCAUAUGAAACAGCCUCAUUAGAGCAACCAGGACAAGUCUGAUGAACCUCGGUGACUAUUUUUGUAUAAGCUCUUGUAUGCAGCGAAAUCAGAGGGCCUAAUUUCUUGCUAUCGAGUCACUUCAGAAGAACACCUAGACCCCGAGGAUGCGAAGUUGUGACCGGGUUCCCUCCUUCAGAGCUAGUCGAGGCCCGACUUAAAGAUGACGUAGAUCGAGGCUAGAGCAAAAUGGGGAAUUC